AUCAAUUUAUGAAUGGUACGUUGUUUGGUGUUCAGCAAAAGGUUUUAUUGAAAGAAAAAAGUCUGUGGGAAGUCACUGUUGAAUCACUUAGAUACCUGACAGAGAAAGGACUCCUGCAAAAAGACUCUAUUCAUAAGUCUGAAGAAGAGGCCCAGUGUAGUUUUCAUAUUACAAAGUUGGGACGAGCUUCUUUUAAGGGAACUAUAGAUUUAGCUUAUUGUAACGUUCUCUACAAAGACUUAGAGAAAGGUCUGGAAGGACUUGUGCUUGAGAGCCUUUUUCACCUAAUCUACCUGACAACCCCCUAUGAUCUGGUUUCUCAGUGUGAACCUAAUUGGAUGAUAUACUUCUGGCAGGUGAGAAGAUUUUUCAACUUAGGAUACUUAAUUUACUAAUGAUGGUUUGAUCUUUGUCAAGUGAUUAUUCAUUUUUUUGUCCUCCAUUAAAAUAUAUUUUUAAUUGGGUCUUCUUGACCAGCCUUAAAAAAUAAUAAUAAUAAUUG
Molecule: long non-coding RNA, 502 nt
Filed under: Microcebus murinus (gray mouse lemur)
Lineage: Eukaryota; Metazoa; Chordata; Mammalia; Primates; Cheirogaleidae
Description: lncRNA (ENSMICG00000048683.1)
Source: RNAcentral